RNAcentral lists this non-coding RNA (160 nucleotides) under Pilibacter termitis. RNAcentral describes it as "Lysine sequence". It matches the Rfam family "Lysine riboswitch aptamer". Rfam says of the family: Riboswitches are metabolite binding domains within certain messenger RNAs that serve as precision sensors for their corresponding targets. Allosteric rearrangement of mRNA structure is mediated by ligand binding, and this results in modulation of gene expression. The record is from Rfam by way of RNAcentral. Lineage: Bacteria; Bacillati; Bacillota; Bacilli; Lactobacillales; Enterococcaceae.
CAAAGAAAUAGAGGUCGCAAAUGCUAAGAACUCUGCGGAGGGGUGCCGUUGAAACAGAUAAGGAGCAUUUGCCGAAAUACCGAGGUAGACAUAUUGAGGUAUUGGGACAACUGGGAAUACUGGUUGGACUCCGCAAGUUUUGCGAGGUGCUAUUUUUCGG